CCUACGGGAGACAGCAGUGAGGAAUAUUGGUCAAUGGACGGGAGACUGAACCAGCCAAGCAGCGUGAGGGAGGAAGGUACAGAGGAGCGUAAACCUCGUUUGUAAGGGAAUAAAGGCGGGGACGUGUCCCCGGUUGAGUGUACCUGAAGAAAAAGCAUCGGCUAACUCCGUGCCAGCAGCCGCGGUAAUACGGAGGAUGCGAGCGUUAUCCGGAUUUAUUGGGUUAAAAGGGUGCGCAGGCGGUCUGUUAAGUCAGCGGUCAAAGCCCGGGGCUCAACCCCGGCCCGCCGUUGAAACUGGCAGUCUCGAGUUGGGUAGAGGUAUGCGGAAUGCGCGGUGUAGCGGUGAAAUGCAUAGAUAUCACGCAGAACUCCGAUUGCGAAGGCAGCAUGCCGGAUCCACACUGACGCUGAGGCACGAAAGCGUGGGUAUCGAACAGGAUUAGAUACCCGUGUAGUC
This 459-nucleotide ribosomal RNA is filed under the name uncultured bacterium. RNAcentral's name for it is "partial 16S ribosomal RNA". It matches the Rfam family "Bacterial small subunit ribosomal RNA", at positions 338 to 795 of the family's 1533-position model. The record is from RNAcentral.